GUGGAGUCUCCCUCACUGAAGAAGUACACGGCAACUGAUGAGCACGGAGCAUCUGUGGCAAAGGAAAAAAACACCGUCUUCAAAUUUUGAGGAGCAAACAUGACCCUUUCUGUUUCUACUGUUUCCCACCCACAUUCAGUUACUGGGAUCGCAGCAAGAGUCGUGCACACAAGGUGUUGCCCAAAGUGGGAAAAAUGGGGAUUGCAGCAUGAAAAGCCAAGCUUAAUGAUUGCUAAGAUAAUGUUGACUUCAGACAGGCCUGUUUUGUCCCACGUGCAUGGGCGUAAAUGUACAUAAGGUACCAUAUUUGAUGAACCGGGUGAAUGGAUCCAGAGGUCCUGCAGACAAUGGAUGCGUUGAGGGAUCCGCACAGGUUUCAGAGCUGCACGGUGCUCACUUGCUCUGCCAGGCAUGAGCUAAUGUACAGCUGAUUCCUCUCUGGGGGAUGCUUUGAUUCUGGGUUUCAAAGGGGACCCUUUCAGUAUUCCUAAUGAUUUUUUUGGCUACAAAGCUUUAUAGAGCAUUAUAGAGUUGCUGGGGACUCUGACACCAAAGA
This is a long non-coding RNA of Pipra filicauda (Wire-tailed manakin), 556 nucleotides long. RefSeq lists it as uncharacterized. The transcript is spliced from 3 exons. Lineage: Eukaryota; Metazoa; Chordata; Aves; Passeriformes; Pipridae. The record is from RefSeq and is a predicted model, not a curated record.